Non-coding RNA from Pelobates cultripes (western spadefoot toad), 243 nucleotides. The record is from the annotation of a GenBank genome assembly. Lineage: Eukaryota; Metazoa; Chordata; Amphibia; Anura; Pelobatidae.
CAAGUGUGCAGGAUAAAAAGUGACAGCCCAAGGAAGAGAUUUGUGGAUCCGCCUGGAAUGGGGGCAGGUUCACCUGAAGAACUGGCAAGUCAACCUGGUGUGAAUGAACGCCAGGCUGUCUGUCGGUUAUCCAGGCCAGCUCACAGAAGGCUUCAGUUUCAGUGCAGGGUCCUAUUUCACUGCAUUUUUGGGGACAGUUCCCUGAUGUGUCCAUAAGUUGGGCUUUGGGACUGUCCCACCUAA